RNAcentral lists this ribosomal RNA (440 nucleotides) under uncultured bacterium. RNAcentral describes it as "partial 16S ribosomal RNA". It matches the Rfam family "Bacterial small subunit ribosomal RNA", at positions 338 to 795 of the family's 1533-position model. The record is from RNAcentral.
CCUACGGGGAGCUGCAGUGGGGGAUAUUGCACAAUGGGGGAAACCCUGAUGCAGCGACGCCGCGUGUGGGAAGACGGUCCUCUGGAUUGUAAACCACUGUCCCCAGGGACGAAGAUGACGGUACCUGGGGAGGAAGCUCCGGCUAACUACGUGCCAGCAGCCGCGGUAAUACGUAGGGAGCGAGCGUUGUCCGGAAUUACUGGGUGUAAGGGGAGCGUAGGCGGGACUGCAAGUUGGGUGUCAAAUCUACCGGCUCAACCGGUAGCCGCACUCAAAACUGCAGUUCUUGAGUGAAGUAGAGGCAGGCGGAAUUCCUAGUGUAGCGGUGAAAUGCGUAGAUAUUAGGAGGAACACCAGUGGCGAAGGCGGCCUGCUGGGCUUUUACUGACGCUGAGGCUCGAAAGUGUGGGGAGCAAACAGGAUUAGAUACCCGUGUAGUC